GCCCGGUUAGCUCAAUCGGUAGAGGUUAGUUGGAUAUUCACAAUAUCUUCCUUUCAAACACACGAUACUAACCGUAUGAAUAGCGUGAGACUCUUAAUCUCAAGGUUGCGGGUUCGACCCCCGCAUCGGGCU
Molecule: transfer RNA, 132 nt
Filed under: Rostrohypoxylon terebratum
Lineage: Eukaryota; Fungi; Ascomycota; Sordariomycetes; Xylariales; Hypoxylaceae
Description: tRNA-Ile
Source: RNAcentral